RNAcentral lists this ribosomal RNA (894 nucleotides) under uncultured Alphaproteobacteria bacterium. RNAcentral's name for it is "bacterial SSU rRNA". It matches the Rfam family "Bacterial small subunit ribosomal RNA", at positions 595 to 1500 of the family's 1533-position model. The record is from RNAcentral. Lineage: Bacteria; Pseudomonadati; Pseudomonadota; Alphaproteobacteria.
GAAAUCCCCAGAGCUUAACUCUGGAACUGCCAUCAAAACUUUUUAGCUAGAGUAUGAUAGAGGAAAGCAGAAUUUCUAGUGUAGAGGUGAAAUUCGUAGAUAUUAGAAAGAAUACCGAUUGCGAAGGCAGCUUUCUGGAUCAUUACUGACGCUGAGGAACGAAAGCAUGGGUAGCGAAGAGGAUUAGAUACCCUCGUAGUCCAUGCCGUAAACGAUGUGUGUUAGACGUUGGAAAUUUAUUUUCAGUGUCGCAGCGAAAGCAUUAAACACACCGCCUGGGGAGUACGACCGCAAGGUUAAAACUCAAAUGAAUUGACGGGGACCCGCACAAGUAGUGGAGCAUGUGGUUUAAUUCGAAGAUACGCGCAGAACCUUACCAACACUUGACAUGUUCGUCGCGACUCUAAGAGAUUAGAGUUUUCGGUUCGGCCGGACGAAACACAGGUGCUGCAUGGCUGUCGUCAGCUCGUGUCGUGAGAUGUUGGGUUAAGUCCCGCAACGAGCGCAACCCUCACUUUUAGUUGCCAUCAUUAAGUUGGGCACUCUGAAAGAACUGCCAGUGAUAAGCUGGAGGAAGGUGGGGAUGACGUCAAGUCCUCAUGGCCCUUACGUGUUGGGCUACACACGUGCUACAAUGGCAUUUACAAUAGGAAGCAAGAUGGCGACAUCAAGCAAAUCCUAAAAAUAUGCCUCAGUUCGGAUUGUACUCUGCAACUCGAGUACAUGAAGCUGGAAUUACUAGUAAUCGCGGAUCAGCGCGCCGCGGUGAAUACGUUCCCGGGUCUUGUACACACCGCCCGUCACACCAUGGGAGUUGGUUCUACCUUAAGGCAAGGUUUUAAACCCUUGACUACGGUAUAGUCAGCGACUGGGGUGAAGUCGUAACAAGGUAAC